AAAAGGUCACGGAUCGCCUACAGUGACGAAGUACGGAAUGAGCUCCUAGGGGAUGCUGGGAAUUCCUCAGAGAACCAGAGGGCACAUCUGCUGGAUAACACGGAAAGGCUGGAGAGGUCAUCUCGGAGACUAGAGGCUGGAUACCAGAUAGCAGUGGAGACCGAGCAAAUCGGCCAAGAGAUGUUGGAAAACCUGAGUCAUGACAGAGAGAGGAUACAGCGGGCACGUGAGCGACUCCGGGAAACAGAUGCAAACUUGGGGAAGAGCUCUCGGAUUCUGACUGGGAUGUUGCGAAGGACUAAGCCAGAAUCCAGUCAAGGACAGAAAUUCAUAGAGACCCGGCGGGCUCCCCAGAGAUGCUGAUAACCUUUCCACACUUGUUAUGGACCCACUAAUGACGCUACUUCAGGCCAGUACUCACAUUUCAGUACCACUUCUAAUGCAUUAAUUCAUCAUUAUUAGCUAUGCUAAUUACGAGUAACUAAUUAAUAAGAUAAAGAAAGCUGCCACC
This 511-nucleotide long non-coding RNA is filed under the name Rattus norvegicus (Norway rat). Its description in RNAcentral is "long non-coding RNA NONRATT001879". The record is from RNAcentral. Lineage: Eukaryota; Metazoa; Chordata; Mammalia; Rodentia; Muridae.